Molecule: ribosomal RNA, 1231 nt
Filed under: metagenome
Description: SSU rRNA
Rfam family: Eukaryotic small subunit ribosomal RNA
Source: RNAcentral
CUGCUAGACUCCGAUAAUACCUGACCCAUAUAUUUAUAUGUAUUCCUCCUAUUUAAACCUGCUUCAGUGCUCUUCAUUGCGUGCUGUUGUAGGCCGGUACAAUUACUUUGAACAAAUUAGAGUGCUUAAAGCAGGCUCCAAAUGCCUGAAUAUUUUGUGCAUGGAAUAAUGAAAUAAGACCUCUGUUCUACUUUCAUUGGUUUUUAGAUCAAGAGGUAAUGAUUAAUAGAAGCAGUUUGGGGGCAUUAGUAUUACGACGCGAGAGGUGAAAUUCUUGGACCGUCGUAAGACUAACUUAAGCGAAAGCAUUUGCCAAAGAUGUUUUCAUUAAUCAAGAACGAAAGUUAGAGGUUCGAAGGCGAUCAGAUACCGCCCUAGUUCUAACCAUAAACGAUGCCAGCUAGCAAUUGGGUGUAGCUACUAUUAUGGCUCUCUCAGUCGCUUCCCGGGAAACCAAAGCUUUUGGGCUCCGGGGGAAGUAUGGUUGCAAAGCUGAAACUUAAAGGAAUUGACGGAAGGGCACCACCAGGAGUGGAGCCUGCGGCUUAAUUUGACCCAACACGGGAAAACUUACCAGGUCCGAACAUAAGCGUGUAAGACAGAUUGAUAGCUCUUUCUCGAAUCUAUGGGUGGUGGUGCAUGGCCGUUCUUAGUUCGUGGAGUGAUUUGUCUGGUUAAUUCCGAUAACGAACGAGACUCAAAUAUAUUAAAUAGAUGCUUUCAGGAUUAUGGUGUUUGAAGCUUUUAUAGCCUUCAUUCAUGAAUGCAGUAACAUGUGUGAGUGCUUGAAUGUGUUUAUAAAGGUGGAGCCGUACCUGUUGGUUUGUCCCAUUAUAAGGACACUAGCUUCCUAAAUGGACAAAUUGCGUCUAGCAAUAAUGAGAUUGAGCAAUAACAGGUCUGUGAUGCCCUUAGAUGUCCUGGGCUGCACGCGCGCUACAAUGAAAGUAUCAACGUGUAUUUCCUAGACCGAGAGGUCCGGGUAAACCGCUGAACCACUUUCAUGCUUGGGAUUGUGAACUGAAACUGUUCACAUGAACUUGGAAUUCCCAGUAAGUGUGAGUCGUUAACUCGCAUUGAUUACGUCCCUGCCCUUUGUACACACCGCCCGUCGCUACUACCGAUUGAAUUAUUUAGUGAGGUCUCCGGACGUGAUCACUGUAACGCCUUGCGUGUUACGGAUGUUUCGCAAAAGUUGACCGAACUUGAUUAUUUAGAGGAAGUAAAAGUC